UGAAGGAAGCUAAUUUUAAUAUAGUCUACUAGUAUCAGAAUUCACUUGCAGUAAUGCAUGCAUCGCUUCAACAACACAUACAUUAGUUAAGGCAAAUGUUCCAACCGCAUUAUGCUAGGUAAUUUUGUUACAAGAUAGACACAUCAUUAACUGAACAGCCAUAGUAAAUCUCACACUUAUACAUCAAACAUUGAGCACACAACUCGAGUACACAACAACAGUCUUUUUUUUUGGUUGGAAUCUGCAUAGAUCUUUACUGCCACCAGCAAACCUGAAAAAUAAGAGUUGAACUUUUUUAUACAUAAUACACUAAAACGAGUUUAACAACAAUCUAUGCAAAUAGAUACAGUAGUGCAUGCCAUCUUUAUUAGCAAAAAAAUAACAUAAUUAUUUUUCAAACUAGCUCAUUUCUUAUUUCCCGUCGUACUACACAAAUAAUUAUGCAUACAACAAAAAGUUAAUUUGGAGGACGGGUGCAUUGAAGCCCGAUAUUUGGAAUAGUGUCAAAAUUCUAUUUUGAAGUUUCAAAAUGUUCUGAAAACAAAUCAACAUGGUUAUAUGGAUGUAUAUUACACAUGUGUAAAUUUUGAUGCUGAAAUAAGUAACCAUGUGAGUUACACAAAAAUGACAAAAUCGUUUUUUUUUUUGGAAAGAUGAACUGAGCAUGCAUUAUUAACUAUUUGAAAAUCACCAUUUUGUCAUUUUUCUAUAGCUCACAGGUUUAUUUGUUUCGUCACCAAACUUUACACAACUGUAAUAUACAUCCAUAUGAUCACGUAGAAUUGUUUUCGAGUUUUUUUGGAACUUUAAAUGUGAUUUUAAAAGUAUUUAAAAUAAGGUCCUUGAAUAAUUAAUCUAGUAGCAAUGGCAAACACAUACAUUAAUCAAGGAUUUUUCUCUCACUCACUCACACUACUAGCACCACACACACAAUAAUUAAUCUACAAAAUUUGCAGCAGCGCGUACAAGCCCUACACACCGCUCGAGUUUUCUCUUUGAUAACUUCCAUCUAAACACAAUUUUCAAUUCAGAUACGUAUCAUCAUCUAAAUUCCAUCUAGACAGUAGGGGUAGCAGUUUAUAGAUAAAUAACAAUUUUCAUAGUCAGCAGAGCAUGCCAUGGUUACACAGAGCACACACGCCAGGCAGCAAGCCAGCAACACAUGAAUAGUCAUAGAUGUGUACUAUAACAGUAACACACAAUAAUUAUGAGCAAAUGAAUUAUACCUCGCAAUUUCUUCAAGACCAAAAUCUGGACAGUACGACUCAGGGGAAAUCAGCAGCUGUAGGCAAGAUGCCACUACCUCGUUUCCUCUCCUACUUCCUUCAAAUGAUGUGCUGAUCUUGGAGGAGACAGCCCAAUGAGCCACGUCCUUGUCCCCUCCUCUGUUUGCUUGGCAAACCUAGCCCAAUCUAGAGAAGAGGGAACUACUAGAUGAGCCACGGGACAAAGAAGCACCGGGCCAAAGCACAGAAGACGAACACUACAGAUGGUCAUACCUUGGGAUUAGAUCUAGUAUGACAUCGAUGGGGAAUGCUCGGAGGACCGGCACUGUUGGCCGGAGACGAAUCAGAAGCGCCGCUCGCUGGCCCUGCCCGGGACGCCGCUCGCCGGCCCUGCCCGGAACGCCGCUCGCCGGCCCUGCCCGAAACGCUCGGAGACUCGCACGCUUGGCCGGACACAACCGCCGGAGAGGAAUUAACCGCGCCGCUCGCCCCUCGCCAGCCCAGCGCGGAACGAGGGGGUCCUGCCGGAGGGAAGCAUCAUCUCCCAACAGGUCUCCUAACCCAUAAAAGAAUUUCGAAUCUGGAUGAUUGAUUUUUCCUUUCGAAUCGGGAUGAUACCUCCAUGGGGAAAGGCACGGGACGGCUCAGCCGCCAUGGGAUGUUUCUGUACCUAAGUUACAGGAUUCUUUCGGGGUUCAAUUUGCAAAUUGUACCUCUUUCCAUCUCACAGAGUACGCAUCCAAUCCAACGGCACACGUUUGGGUUUCCAUGUUUCCUCUGAAUGUAUGGUUUCCACUAGAUAUAUUCUCUCACAUAAAUUAGAGUAGCUGAUCGGUCCAUCAGGUGGAUGGGUGUACAUUGGCCUCCUGUUACAAAUAUGAGGUUAUGUUCAGAUCCACAUUCUAUGAAUACAAAGCUUGGAUUUUGGAACGAGAGGACAAUUCGCUUGAAGCCACUGAAUAUAUAGCUUUUGAGGACUUCGGUUUAGAAGCCUAAAGUAUGUUCCAAUCAUAAACAGUUUUCAUUCCAAAAAGGAUUUCAAACUACAGCUCAUGUAUUCUCUGAUGAAAGGUUUGAAACAAUUCGUUUUAAGAAAAAAUAAUAUGUAGUUAUCACAAUUUAACAGAUUGUCUGGAUUAAUCCAUAGCAAUUUCCUUGCAUGUAUUCAGGCUACCUUAACACACGCUGAAUCAGACUUUCAAAUUCAGACUUAGAGGGAUGUGAGUACAGACUUGGCACUUGGCAGUAUAGAAAUUCCCUGGACAACUACACACGCUGAAUCAGGUAUUCUAGAUCCUGAACACAAAACAUAAAUUAUCUAAUGCUGCAAAUUUGAGCUGAAGAAAUUGCAAUUGCUGAAGAUUGAAAUGAAACCAGAAAUUUAUACCAUAUAGGGUUUGCAGUAGAUUAUUCCAUGAGAGGGAGGUACAGGUGCGGCGGUGUCGACGGACUGGUGGACGAGCGAGUCGGAGCGCCGGUGUAGAAGAGCGGCUGUG
Molecule: long non-coding RNA, 2722 nt
Filed under: Triticum aestivum (bread wheat)
Lineage: Eukaryota; Viridiplantae; Streptophyta; Magnoliopsida; Poales; Poaceae
Description: long non-coding RNA (TAES_LNC018839)
Source: RNAcentral